GACGAACGCUGGCGGCGUGCUUAACACAUGCAAGUCGAACGGAAAGGCCCUGCUUUUGUGGGGUGCUCGAGUGGCGAACGGGUGAGUAACACGUGAGUAACCUGCCCUUGACUUUGGGAUAACUUCAGGAAACUGGGGCUAAUACCGGAUAGGAGCUCCUGCUGCAUGGUGGGGGUUGGAAAGUUUCGGCGGUUGGGGAUGGACUCGCGGCUUAUCAGCUUGUUGGUGGGGUAGUGGCUUACCAAGGCUUUGACGGGUAGCCGGCCUGAGAGGGUGACCGGCACCAGUGGGACUGGGGAGGGGCCCAGGCGCAUUAGGGGGGGAGGGGGGGGAAAUUUUGCAAAAGGGGCGGAAGCCUGAGGGAGGAACCCCGGGUGGGGGAGGCCGGCCUUGGGGUUGAAAAACGCUUUCGCUUGUGACGAAGGGUUGGGGCGGGUAAUGGGGAAAAAAGAACCGGUAAACUAGUG
RNAcentral lists this ribosomal RNA (467 nucleotides) under uncultured bacterium. Its description in RNAcentral is "partial 16S ribosomal RNA". It matches the Rfam family "Bacterial small subunit ribosomal RNA", at positions 28 to 507 of the family's 1533-position model. The record is from RNAcentral.